RNAcentral lists this ribosomal RNA (424 nucleotides) under uncultured bacterium. RNAcentral's name for it is "bacterial SSU rRNA". It matches the Rfam family "Bacterial small subunit ribosomal RNA", at positions 358 to 773 of the family's 1533-position model. The record is from RNAcentral.
GGAAUAUUGGACAAUGGGCGCAAGCCUGAUCCAGCCAUGCCGCGUGGGUGAAGAAGGCCUGCGGGUUGUAAAGCACUUUUAUCAGGAAAGAACCUGCCUGGAGAUAAUACCCCCAGGCACUGACGGUACCUUAGGAAUAACCACCGGCUAACUCCGUGCCAGCAGCCGCGGUAAUACGGAGGGUGCAAGCGUUAACCGGAAUUACUGGGCGUAAAGCGAGUGUAGGCGGCUACGUAAGUCGGUUGUGAAAUCCCCGGGCUUAACCUGGGAAUUGCGUUCGAUACUGCGUGGCUAGAGUCUGAUAGAGGGAAGUGGAAUUCCAGGUGUAGCGGUGAAAUGCGUAGAUAUCUGGAGGAACAUCAGUGGCGAAGGCGGCUUCCUGGAUCAAGACUGACGCUCAGGCUCGAAAGCGUGGGUAGCAAAC